This 218-nucleotide long non-coding RNA is filed under the name Musa acuminata (dwarf banana). Its description in RNAcentral is "long non-coding RNA (MACU_LNC002029)". Lineage: Eukaryota; Viridiplantae; Streptophyta; Magnoliopsida; Zingiberales; Musaceae. The record is from RNAcentral.
UUUUUUUUUAACUUAAAUCUGAAUCUUUCAUAAAUUAUAUCAAACUUCUAAUAUUUACUCUUAGGUCCCUAGCCAUAAACUUUUAAUAUAAUAUCAUUGAAUAUAAAAUAAUUAUUAAAUAAUCCUUAUUUUUAUAAACAAACCUUUUACUAAAUUUUUAAAAAUGGGGGAUGUUACACUCUCCCCUCCUUAAAGAAAAAUUUAGUCCUCUAAAUUUA